GAUGAACGCUGGCGGCGUGCCUAAUACAUGCAAGUCGAGCGAACAGGCGAGGAGCUUGCUCCUCUGACGUUAGCGGCGGACGGGUGAGUAACACGUGGAUAACCGACCUAUAAGACUGGGAUAACUUCGGGAAACCGGAGCUAAUACCGGAUAAUAUAUUGAACCGCAUGGUUCAAUAGUGAAAGACGGUUUUGCUGUCACUUAUAGAUGGAUCCGCGCCGCAUUAGCUAGUUGGUAAGGUAACGGCUUACCAAGGCAACGAUGCGUAGCCGACCUGAGAGGGUGAUCGGCCACACUGGAACUGAGACACGGUCCAGACUCCUACGGGAGGCAGCAGUAGGGAAUCUUCCGCAAUGGGCGAAAGCCUGACGGAGCAACGCCGCGUGAAUGAUGAAGGUCUUCGGAUCGUAAAACUCUGUUAUUAGGGAAGAACAAAUGUGUAAGUAACUAUGCACGUCUUGACGGUACCUAAUCAGAAAGCCACGGCUAACUACGUG
This 497-nucleotide ribosomal RNA is filed under the name uncultured bacterium. RNAcentral describes it as "partial 16S ribosomal RNA". It matches the Rfam family "Bacterial small subunit ribosomal RNA", at positions 28 to 507 of the family's 1533-position model. The record is from RNAcentral.